UGGCGGAGCGAUUUGUCUGGUUAAUUCCGAUAACGAACGAGACUCUAGCCUAUUAAAUAGACGAUAUAUUAUUAGUUUAUCGAGCUUCUUAGAGGGACAGGCAGCUUCUAGCUGCACGAGAUUGAGCAAUAACA
Molecule: ribosomal RNA, 134 nt
Filed under: uncultured eukaryote
Lineage: Eukaryota
Description: partial 18S ribosomal RNA
Rfam family: Eukaryotic small subunit ribosomal RNA
Source: RNAcentral